This is a non-coding RNA of Heterocephalus glaber (naked mole-rat), 2210 nucleotides long. The record is from RefSeq and is a predicted model, not a curated record. NCBI's taxonomy places the organism in Eukaryota, Metazoa, Chordata, Mammalia, Rodentia, Bathyergidae.
ACUCCUAGAAGAAAUAGGAGAAUAAUAUUGUAGGAAUCAUCUCUAUCACCACCACCUGGGACCCUAUCACAUACAUGUGCCAUGUGCACAUGUGCCUAAACACACCACACGCACACACACAGCCUGCCAGCAUGAGGGAGCCCAGGAGAGCAAGCCUGCCCUUAGCCUGGCCCCUCCCCAGCAGCCUUCUCUGCUGUGACUUUCCUGUCUCCACCUCUCCAUUCUUUUUCUCUGCUCCCAGCCUUUCUGUCAGUUUCUCUUUCUCUCAGUUUAUUUUAGCUUCCUGCUAACUCUCAGCCUCUGCCUUUGUCUUAGUUGUUUUUUCUCUCCCAUUGUGUUUCUAGUUCCAUCUUAUACCCCUCCUUUCCACUUCUUGGAUUCCAUCUCUCCUGCCUCUGCCCUCUUCACUCCAGCCAUUGCCCCUACCUCAGUCCCACCAGGAACUGAACCCAGUUCUGGCCCAGUGGAGUCCUAAAAUUUAGCAGUUAGGUUGCAAGGGGUGGGAGAGAAAAGCAGCUCCUUGGAAUGAGUCCCUGCUUUGGUGGGAGGUCUUAAGGAUCAUACUGUUUUGCUAUGGUAUUGAAGCAGAGGAGGGGGAGGCCAGGAGGUGGACCAGAGAGCAAAGCAUAACAUAAGUAAGGGAAGAGAGGGAAAGGGAGAGAUUGAUAGAAAAGACACAGGAGGGAAAACACUAGAGAGAAGGGCAAGGAUUUAAUGUUCCCACUAAGGGGCCAGGGAUUUAGCUCAGUGGUGCCGACGCCUGCCUCACAAGCAAAAGGUCCCGAGUUCGAUCCCCCGUACCAAAAAAAAAAAAAAAUGUUCCCACUAAGAGUGUGUUUUAGGAUGACCUGAAGGGAAGGGCCUAAAGGGCAUCCACUGAGCCAUUUGAGAAACAGAUCCAGAGACAAGGUCUGGAAACCCAGUUUGAGAAACAAAAAUGCACUGUCUGCCAGGCAGCCACGAUCCUGGACUCUUGGCUAUCUAGAGGUUCUCAGAGGCCUCUUUCUCCUUUGCAGACAAUCUUAAAGUGUUGGUCCCCUCCUCGUUAACCUCUUCCACAGCCUCCUGUCUUCCUUUUCUUCUGAGAAUGACAUCAGCUCUAGCUGCCACUGUCCUCAACCCUUUUGCUGAUGUACUGCCCCAUGGGUGCAACAGAGGCCGAUCACCCAGCCCCACCCGUUCCCAGCCCAGCACCCUGCAGUGGGAAUGGAAGAGGCUGUACCAGGAAGGCGGCUGCAGGACACGAAUUGCAGGCUCAUUUCAUGAGCAGUAGAGGUGACUGAGGAGACCCUUCAAAUUGCAGUGGAGGAGGACUUCUCGCGCUACCCCCUCAAAAUCCUGCAGAGGAAGAGGGAAAGAAAACCAAAGCAUUCUCCUGUCGCCGCGGCAACCAUAAAAACCCCAGCUAAAUCCAUCUUGUGAGCUCACCGCCCCAUUAAGAUGCAGGGCCAGGCUCUGCGCCAGCCCAGCCACAUUCAUUUGUGCGAAUAAAGGUGGAGGAGGGGGAGGGGAGCAGGCUCUGGAGAGACGUGGAAAUGGCGAGAAGAGGUUAUUUACACCACCGUCCUGACCUUCUGGAGCAGUGCUGGCUCCGAUAAAUAACCCGCUCAGCGCCGUUUCAGAGCAGGAGUGGGAGGUGCAGGAAGGGAGAGGGGCUGGAGGAGAGCCCCCACGCAGGUGCGCGUCUCCGGGUUACUAAUGGCUGAGGCGGGUGCAGGCAGCUGGCUUUGGGGGUGGUGGUGGGAGAACUCAGUUCCCUGAGACUCCCACUGAGAAAAAUACCAUCCCCACCCCACCCUGGCGCCAAUAUCCAGGCGAGGGGACUGAGAGAUGCCAAGGAGGCAAACAGCCCCGUAAAUUAGGCAUGGGGGGGGGGUUGCUGGAGAGUCUCAGAGGUAGCAAGUAAUAUUAUAAGAUGGGGGUGGGGGCUGAAGGAAUAGGAGUAGCUGCCAAAAAGAGAGGUACAGAAACAUCACACAAAGGCAGUUUGGCAAAAAUGUUUUAUUCCUCUGCACAGAGCAGUAUAGGAAGGUGGGCCAACUCCUAAUUCUGUACAUCUUUUACAUGAAGGUCCCUCCUCAAAUAUCCCAUUGUCUGCCCCACUUCAGUGCUGAAGAACUGGCAGUUAGUGGAAAGGGCAGAAUGUAAGGUCCUGGGAAGGGUUUUCUUUUUUCUUUUUUUUUUUUUGGUACCGGGGAUCGAACUCAGGU